RNAcentral lists this ribosomal RNA (463 nucleotides) under uncultured bacterium. RNAcentral's name for it is "partial 16S ribosomal RNA". It matches the Rfam family "Bacterial small subunit ribosomal RNA", at positions 28 to 507 of the family's 1533-position model. The record is from RNAcentral.
GAUGAACGCUGACAGAAUGCUUAACACAUGCAAGUCGAUGGGGAAGUGGUGCUUGCACCAUGGCAACCAUGGCGGACGGGUGAGUAACGCGUAAGGGACUUACCUGCAGGACUGGGAUAACAGGGGGAAACUCCUGACAAGACCGGAUAAUGUCAUGGAGCUGCAUGGUUUUAUGAUGAAAGGAGACGCCUGCGGAGAGACUUGCGUCCUAUUAGCCAGUUGGUGAGGUAAUGGCUCACCAAGGCGAAGAUAGGUAGCCGGCCUGAGAGGGUGGACGGCCACAAGGCGACUGAGAUACGGCCCUUACUCCUACGGGAGGCAGCAGGGGGGAAUAUUGGACAAUGGGGGCAACCCUGAUCCAGCAAUUCUGUGUGCACGAAGAAGGUUUUCGGAUUGUAAAGUGCUUUCAGCAGGGAAGAAGUAAGUGACGGUACCUGCAGAAGAAGCGACGGCUAAAUACGUG